This 434-nucleotide ribosomal RNA is filed under the name uncultured bacterium. Its description in RNAcentral is "partial 16S ribosomal RNA". It matches the Rfam family "Bacterial small subunit ribosomal RNA", at positions 341 to 792 of the family's 1533-position model. The record is from RNAcentral.
ACGGAAGGCAGCAGUGGGGAAUAUUGCACAAUGGGGGAAACCCUGAUGCAGCGACGCCGCGUGAGUGAUGAAGUAUUUCGGUAUGUAAAGCUCUAUCAGCAGGGAAGAUAAUGACGGUACCUGACUAAGAAGCCCCGGCUAACUACGUGCCAGCAGCCGCGGUAAUACGUAGGGAGCCAGCGUUAUCCCGAUUUACUGGGUGUAAAGGGAGUGUAGGUGGUUUGGCAAGUCAGAUGUGAAAGCCUGGGGCUCAACUCCGGGACUGCAUUUGAAACUGGCAGACUAGAGUGCAGGAGAGGAAGGUGGAAUUCCUAGUGUAGCGGUGAAAUGCGUAGAUAUUAGGAAGAACACCAGUGGCGAAGGCGGCUUUCUGGACUGUAACUGACGCUGAGGCACGAAAGCGUGGGGAGCAAACAGGAUUAGAUACCCUGGUA